GAUGAACGCUAGCUACAGGCUUAACACAUGCAAGUCGCGGGGCAGCAUGGGGGUUGCUUGCAAUCCCCGAUGGCGACCGGCGCACGGGUGAGUAACGCGUAUCCAACCUGCCCUUCACCACGGGAUAACCCGGCGAAAGUCGGACUAAUACCGUAUGUUGUCCAUUGACGGCAUCCGAUUUGGACGAAAGGUUUGGCGGUGAAGGAUGGGGAUGCGUCCGAUUAGCUGGACGGCGGGGUGACGGCCCACCGUGGCGACGAUCGGUAGGGGUUCUGAGAGGAAGGUCCCCCACACGGGAACUGAGACACGGUCCAGACUCCGACGGGAGGCAGCAGUGAGGAAUAUUGGUCAAUGGGCGUAAGCCUGAACCAGCCAAGUAGCGUGCAGGAUGACGGCCCUAUGGGUUGUAAACUGCUUUUAUGCGGGGAUAAAGUGGCCCACGUGUGGGUUUUUGCAGGUACCGCAUGAAUAAGGACCGGCUAAUUCCGUG
This 490-nucleotide ribosomal RNA is filed under the name uncultured bacterium. RNAcentral describes it as "partial 16S ribosomal RNA". It matches the Rfam family "Bacterial small subunit ribosomal RNA", at positions 28 to 507 of the family's 1533-position model. The record is from RNAcentral.